RNAcentral lists this ribosomal RNA (478 nucleotides) under uncultured bacterium. RNAcentral's name for it is "SSU rRNA". It matches the Rfam family "Bacterial small subunit ribosomal RNA", at positions 26 to 518 of the family's 1533-position model. The record is from RNAcentral.
AGAUUGAACGCUGGCGGCGUGCUUAACACAUGCAAGUCGAGCGGUAACAGGCGUAGCAAUACGUGCUGACGAGCGGCGAACGGGUGAGUAAUGCUUCGGAAUCUGCCUUUUAGUGGGGAAUAACCAGCCGAAAGGUUGGCUAAUACCGCAUACGCCCUUCGGGGGAAAGCGGGGGAUCGCAAGACCUCGCGCUAUUAGAUGAGCCGAAGUCGGAUUAGCUAGUUGGUAGGGUAACGGCCUACCAAGGCGACAAUCCGUAGCUGGUCUGAGAGGACGACCAGCCACACUGGGACUGAGACACGGCCCAGACUCCUACGGGAGGCAGCAGUAGGGAAUCUUGGACAAUGGGCGAAAGCCUGAUCCAGCCAUGCCGCGUGAGUGAAGAAAGGCCUUAGGGUUGUAAAGCUCGUUUUGGCGGGGACGAGUAAUGACGGUACCCGCAGAAUAACGCCCCGGCUAACUUCGUGCCAGCAGCCGC